UACGGGGGGGGCAAGCGUUGUUCGGAAUUACUGGGCGUAAAGGGUUCGUAGGUGGCCGACUAAGUCAGACGUGAAAGCCCUCAGCUCAACUGAGGAAGUGCGCCCGAAACUGCAGAGCUUGAGUGCCGGAGAGGGUGGCGGAAUUCCACAAGUAGAGGUGAAAUUCGUAGAUAUGGGGAGGAACACCGGUGGCGAAGGCGGCCACCUGGACGGUAACUGACGCUGAGACGCGAAAGCGUGGGGAGCAAACAGG
RNAcentral lists this ribosomal RNA (253 nucleotides) under uncultured bacterium. Its description in RNAcentral is "partial 16S ribosomal RNA". It matches the Rfam family "Bacterial small subunit ribosomal RNA", at positions 524 to 776 of the family's 1533-position model. The record is from RNAcentral.